This 901-nucleotide ribosomal RNA is filed under the name Pseudomonas koreensis. RNAcentral's name for it is "bacterial SSU rRNA". It matches the Rfam family "Bacterial small subunit ribosomal RNA", at positions 38 to 937 of the family's 1533-position model. Lineage: Bacteria; Pseudomonadati; Pseudomonadota; Gammaproteobacteria; Pseudomonadales; Pseudomonadaceae. The record is from RNAcentral.
GACGGGCGGCGCUACACUGCAGUCGAGCGGAUGAAGGAGCUUGCUCCUGGAUUCACGGCGGACGGGUGAGUAAUGCCUAGGAAUCUGCCUGGUAGUGGGGGACAACGUUUCGAAAGGAACGCUAAUACCGCAUACGUCCUACGGGAGAAAGCAGGGGACCUUCGGGCCUUGCGCUAUCAGAUGAGCCUAGGUCGGAUUAGCUAGUUGGUGAGGUAAUGGCUCACCAAGGCGACGAUCCGUAACUGGUCUGAGAGGAUGAUCAGUCACACUGGAACUGAAACACGGUCCAGACUCCUACGGGAGGCACCAGUGGGGAAUAUUGGACAAUGGGCGAAAGCCUGAUCCAGCCAUGCCGCGUGUGUGAAAAAGGUCUUCGGAUUGUAAAGCACUUUAAGUUGGGAGGAAGGGUUGUAGAUUAAUACUCUGCAAUUUUGACGUUACCGACAGAAUAAGCACCGGCUAACUCUGUGCCAGCAGCCGCGGUAAUACAGAGGGUGCAAGCGUUAAUCGGAAUUACUGGGCGUAAAGCGCGCGUAGGUGGUUUGUUAAGUUGGAUGUGAAAUCCCCGGGCUCAACCUGGGAACUGCAUCCAAAACUGGCAAGCUAGAGUAUGGUAGAGGGUGGUGGAAUUUCCUGUGUAGCGGUGAAAUGCGUAUAUAUAGGAAGGAACACCAGUGGCGAAGGCGACCACCUGGACUGAUACUGACACUGAGGUGCGAAAGCGUGGGGGAGCAAACAGGAUUAGAUACCCUGGUAGUCCACGCCGUAAACGAUGUCAACUAGCCGUUGGGAGCCUUGAGCUCUUAGUGGCGCAGCUAACGCAUUAAGUUGACGCCUGGGGAGUACGGCCGCAAGGUUAAAACUCAGAUGAAUUGACUGGAGGCCCGCACGAGCGGAUGGA